Molecule: long non-coding RNA, 2527 nt
Filed under: Daucus carota (carrot)
Lineage: Eukaryota; Viridiplantae; Streptophyta; Magnoliopsida; Apiales; Apiaceae
Description: long non-coding RNA (DCAR_LNC002095)
Source: RNAcentral
GAGAAAGCAAGGGUUAGAUUAAUCAGCUAAUUCAGGUGAGGAUCUGUUUAUUCUUUAAAUCAAAUAACCGAGUCAUGUUUUGUAUUAUAUCACUGUGUUAUGUGUUGUUGUGAUGCUUGGUUUGAUUGGGGUUUGGGGGUUUGUUAAAUCGGAGUUGAGAAUUGGGGGUGUUCGGCAGUUGGUGGUGGUGGUGUUGAAGGAGCGGCGGCGAUUAACGCCGUCGACGGAGUCGUAGCAGCGUGGUGAAGCGAGGUUUGUAGUGGCUGUUGUUGGGUUGGUGUUGGGAGGCGGCGGAGGAGCGCCGUACUGCUGCGCCGUGAGGAGAAUCGAGCGGCGACUGGCGGAGAUGUGGUGGUUGUUGUCGGAGUAGGAGGAGACGGCGUCGCGUGUGACACAACAGCAGCGUUGUCGCGCUCUGGGCAGCCAUGGUUGUUCAGAGAGAGAGAUUUGAGAGAGAGAGGGGGAGAGGGAGAGGGGCUGCCGGAUUCCGGCGGGUGGUGGCUGUCCGAUGGUGGCCCUCGGUGGCGCCGGGCAGAUUUUUCCGGAAAAAAACAAAAGAGAAUGUUGAUUUUAUUUUUAUUAUUGUUAUUAUUAUUAUUGUUUUAAUUAGCGAUGAUAAUAAUAAUAAUAAUAAUAAUAAUAAUAAUAGUAAUAAUAAUAAUAAUAAUAAUAAUAAUGAAAUUAAUAUCUAAUUUUGAAUGUUUAUAUUAUAGUGCAAGGUGUGUUGUGAAUACUGUACUUAUAUACGUAUACUUGUGGUACAUGUACAACUUAAAAUCCCGAAACUUAAUUGUUUAGUGUAUUGUGACGAUUGUAUAAAUUAUUUCAGUCCCGGGAGUUUAGUUGGUUAUUAUUUGAUUGUGGUAAAUAGAUAUUAAAUUGAUUGUUGGUUGGUGGGAUUAUUUUAAAACGAAGGAAGUGUUGUCUGAAUUUUGGUUUAUUAUGAAGAAUUGGAUUUGUAUUUGGGAAUCUGAUUUAGAUUAUAAUUCGGAUUCUGACUAAGAAUAAGACCGGAAAUCUUGAAUUAUUGGUUAUAAUUAUUUAUAAAUAAUAAAGCAUGUCAAUUGCGUGAUACGUGAUAAUGUGAUUACAUGAAUAUUAUGUGUAUAUAAUAAUUAAAAAUAUUUGUACACCACGAAAGGUAGAUUAGAAUACGAUUUAGAAUUCUCGAUUUGGACGACGAUUUGGAUUCGUCAACUGAAUUAUUGUUUUCUUGUAGAAGAAAGUGUUUAGUUGAAAAGCAAGCCGAGCAGUAGAGUAUUUUGUUGAUGAAUUGAGAAUUUCAUUCAGAGGCAAGUGUUCCUGUCCCGAACUUAUUUUUAUUGCAAUUGAUGUUGCUAUUAUCCUGAUUCGUAUAAAUUUUAAAUUGUACAUACAGCCUAUGCACAAUAAAUUAUUCUCACAAGUCACUAUUUAUUCUUAAAUUGUUAGCCAGAAACAAUUGUAUGUACCAACAUGCCUUGACUUAUACCUUGACUUUUGACAAGACACUAAACCUUUUUUUUUCCACCACUAACCAGAAUCAAUUAUUUCUACCAAUAUUUUACCGUGACUUGUGAAUUAUCUGAACCUAAACAGUCUUAUCUCAUUUUACCAAUAAUUGAUUCGUUAUUUGGAAUCAAUUAUAUACUUUAAUUAAUUGUAUCCACCUUACCAAUUUUCACUAUUCAAUGUUUAUCUACCACCCGGUAUCUUUUCUGUAGUUGUCUAAUUUAAAUAUUGUCGAUUGUGUUUCCAAAUACUGUUCUCUGAAUAGUUCUUUUAUUCAAAAUUUCAAAGCAAUUAUUGAGAAAAAGAUUUACAAAUGACAGCCACUUUCUGGUGGUUGAAUUAUUAUGAUAGUAUGAGUUUGACUUGGAUUUGCUUUCUAUUGAAAUCAAAUUAUUUUGUAAUUGGAACGUAUGCGUAAGAGACCGAGACGCCGGUCCAGCGAAUAGGCCAAUGUGUGCCUGGAAUUCCUCAGAUUUGGUGACAUUCUUCUUGCAUGAUCCGGUGCUAUCUCGCGACUGAUCAUCGGCUAUAGCACAGCGUUAAUAAUUCCAAUUAUAUACAAAGAGAUUUAUGAAAACGAUUUAUGAGAAAGAUUAUGAAAAUUCUUAUGAGAUUGUUUAUGAUUUAAUGCCUUUCUUUGCAGCAUUAAGUUGUAUUGAUAAAGUUGAAUUAUUGGUAAUUCUUUCAGCAAUGAUAGUUUUAAUUUAAGAACAAGGUUAGCCAUGCAUUUUUAAAAAUAUUAUUGUUGAGCAUGCUUUGCUCAUCUUUGCUUUCCUGUGUUCAUUCUUUUAGUGAAAACUGAGGAUGCCUCGUCUUCACACCACACGUAAGAGUGUGCCAGUGCAUCAUCCUUUGGUCUUUAGGUUCCAUCUCCCUAACCAGGUGGGUUUUGGUAUAGAUAGUUUGAAGUGAGAGAGUAUAUAGUUCGUUAUAAUAUAUUAUUAGUGUGUAAAACUUAUCUAGACAUUUAGUCAUUGGCAUAGCUUCUCGUCGAAGUUAUCCUAAUGACAGCAGGUGUGAUGUAAUAACUUUAUAA